Molecule: ribosomal RNA, 860 nt
Filed under: Wolbachia endosymbiont of Ixodiphagus hookeri
Lineage: Bacteria; Pseudomonadati; Pseudomonadota; Alphaproteobacteria; Rickettsiales; Anaplasmataceae
Description: bacterial SSU rRNA
Rfam family: Bacterial small subunit ribosomal RNA
Source: RNAcentral
CUAAUACCGUAUUCGCCCUACGGGGGAAAAAUUUGUUGCUAUUAGAUGAGCCUAUAUUAGAUUAGCUAGUUGGUGGAGUAAUAGCCUACCAAGGCAAUGAUCUAUAGCUGAUCUGAGAGGAUGAUCAGCCACACUGGAACUGACAUACGGUCCAGACUCCUACGGGAGGCAGCAGUGGGGAAGAUUGGACGAUGGGCGAAAGCCUGAUCCAGCCAUGCCGCAUGAGUGAAGAAGGCCUUUGGGUUGUAAAGCUCUUUUAGUGAGGAAGAUAAUGACGGUACUCACAGAAGAAGUCCUGGCUAACUCCGUGCCAGCAGCCGCGGUAAUACGGAGAGGGCUAGCGUUAUUCGGAAUUAUUGGGCGUAAAGGGCGCGUAGGCGGAUUAGUAAGUUAAAAGUGAAAUCCCAAGGCUCAACCUUGGAAUUGCUUUUAAAACUGCUAAUCUAGAGAUUGAAAGAGGAUAGAGGAAUUCCUAGUGUAGAGGUGAAAUUCGUAAAUAUUAGGAGGAACACCAGUGGCGAAGGCGUCUAUCUGGUUCAAAUCUGACGCUGAGGCGCGAAGGCGUGGGGAGCAAACAGGAUUAGAUACCCUGGUAGUCCACGCUGUAAACGAUGAAUGUUAAAUAUGGGAAGUUUUACUUUCUGUAUUACAGCUAACGCGUUAAACAUUCCGCCUGGGGACUACGGUCGCAAGAUUAAAACUCAAAGGAAUUGACGGGGACCCGCACAAGCGGUGGAGCAUGUGGUUUAAUUCGAUGCAACGCGAAAAACCUUACCACUCCUUGACAUGGAAAUUAUACCUAUUCGAAGGGAUAGGGUCGGUUCGGCCGGGUUUCACACAGGUGUUGCAUGGCUGUCGUC